This 614-nucleotide ribosomal RNA is filed under the name uncultured bacterium. Its description in RNAcentral is "bacterial SSU rRNA". It matches the Rfam family "Bacterial small subunit ribosomal RNA", at positions 338 to 951 of the family's 1533-position model. The record is from RNAcentral.
CCUACGGGAGGCAGCAGUAAGGAAUAUUGGUCAAUGGGCGCAAGCCUGAACCAGCCAUGCCGCGUGCAGGAAGACGGCCCUAUGGGUUGUAAACUGCUUUUGAACAAGAGAAAACCUCGGUACGUGUACCGAGCUGAUAGUAUUGUUAGAAUAAGCAUCGGCUAACUUCGUGCCAGCAGCCGCGGUAAGACGAAGGAUGCAAGCGUUAUCCGGAUUCAUUGGGUUUAAAGGGUGCGUAGGCGGCCUGAUAAGUCAGUGGUGAAAUCUCUCAGCUUAACUGAGAAACUGCCAUUGAUACUGUCGGGCUUGAGUACAGAUGAUGUGGGCGGAAUAUGACAUGUAGUGGUGAAAUACUUAGAUAUGUCAUAGAACACCGAUUGCGAAGGCAGCUCACAAAACUGUAACUGACGCUGAGGCACGAAAGUGCGGGGAUCAAACAGGAUUAGAUACCCUGGUAGUCCGCACCGUAAACGAUGAUUACUCGUUGUUGGCAAUAUGACCGUCAGCGACCAAGCGAAAGCGAUAAGAAUCCACCUGGGGAGUACGCCGGCAACGGUGAAACUCGAAAGGAAUUGACGGCUUGAGGACGNGCGAGGACGACACGAGGGAGGAGG